This 355-nucleotide transfer-messenger RNA is filed under the name Phreatobacter aquaticus. RNAcentral describes it as "Alphaproteobacteria transfer-messenger RNA". It matches the Rfam family "Alphaproteobacteria transfer-messenger RNA". From Rfam's summary of the family: Bacterial tmRNA, also known as 10Sa RNA or SsrA, is named for its dual tRNA and mRNA-like properties. Its role is to liberate the mRNA from a stalled ribosome. Lineage: Bacteria; Pseudomonadati; Pseudomonadota; Alphaproteobacteria; Hyphomicrobiales; Phreatobacteraceae. The record is from Rfam by way of RNAcentral.
GCCCUUUCGCAGUCGCGCCGGCUCGCCUAUAUUCAAGACGCCGGGGCAACCCGGAUACGGCGAUAAACGGUCAUCGUAAUAAGCCUAUCGGACCCGGGGGCAGUACCCGGCGCCUCCACCAGGAGCCCCUUCGCGAAGGGAUUGCUGAUGGGGGCGAAACAGGAUCGACGAGGGUGUAAAGGGUGUUCUUUCGCUCGGCAUGGUUCCGCCGUCAUCGGGCCAUUCAAUAGUUGCCAACGACAACUAUGCUCCGGUGGCCGUUGCCGCGUAAUGCGGUAAUAGUACCGAAAUCAAGCCCUUGCGGGUAGCACCGUAAGGCGGGGUUCGGAGGCACCUGGCAACAGAAGCCUCCACU